GCCUACGGGGGGCAGCAGUGGGGGAUAUUGCACAAUGGGGGGAACCCUGAUGCAGCGACGCCGCGUGGGUGAAGAAGCGCCUCGGCGCGUAAAGCCCUGUCAGCAGGGAAGAAAAUGACGGUACCUGAAGAAGAAGCCCCGGCUAACUACGUGCCAGCAGCCGCGGUAAUACGUAGGGGGCAAGCGUUAUCCGGAUUUACUGGGUGUAAAGGGAGCGGAGACGGCGAGGUAAGCCUGAAGUGGAAGCCCGCGGCCCAACCGCGGAACUGCUUUGGGAACUGUUUUGCUGGAGUAUGGGAGGGGUG
RNAcentral lists this ribosomal RNA (305 nucleotides) under uncultured bacterium. Its description in RNAcentral is "bacterial SSU rRNA". It matches the Rfam family "Bacterial small subunit ribosomal RNA", at positions 337 to 659 of the family's 1533-position model. The record is from RNAcentral.